This is a long non-coding RNA of Sitophilus oryzae (rice weevil), 268 nucleotides long. RefSeq lists it as uncharacterized. The record is from RefSeq and is a predicted model, not a curated record. Lineage: Eukaryota; Metazoa; Arthropoda; Insecta; Coleoptera; Curculionidae. The transcript is spliced from 2 exons.
ACAUAAACAGUAUUUGUGAAAUUUGGAUUAGAAACUAUUAUUUUAUUAGUUUAUUUUGUUGUGUUUAAGUGUUGUGUAUUUGUACCUACUGGAUAAUAUUUUCCAACAUAUUUAAUUAAGCAAAAAGCAUCUGUUUUACAGGUGUGACUGCUAAGUGGUCGUACUCGCCACUUUAACCAAGCAUUGGUGGGACCUUCAGAGAUCAUAAUGCGAAUUUCUUCAUACCAUGUAAAUCUAUAUACAUGUAUUAAUAAAUGCGUUUGCUUUA